GUAAGGUAACGGCUCACCAAGGCGACGAUGCGUAGCCGACCUGAGAGGGUGAUCGGCCACACUGGGACUGAGACACGGCCCACACUCCUACGGGAGGCAGCAGUAGGGAAUCUUCCGCAAUGGACGAAAGUCUGACGGAGCAACGCCGCGUGAGUGAUGAAGGUUUUCGGAUCGUAAAGCUCUGUUGUUAGGGAAGAACAAGUACAGUUCGAAUAGGGCGGUACCUUGACGGUACCUAACCAGAAAGCCACGGCUAACUACGUGCCACCAGCCGCGGUAAUACGUAGGUGGCAAGCGUUGUCCGGACUUAUUGGGCGU
Molecule: ribosomal RNA, 318 nt
Filed under: Bacillus sp. CSu4_27
Lineage: Bacteria; Bacillati; Bacillota; Bacilli; Caryophanales; Bacillaceae
Description: bacterial SSU rRNA
Rfam family: Bacterial small subunit ribosomal RNA
Source: RNAcentral